UGCGUAGGCGGGUUUUUAAGUCAGAGGUGAAAUCCUGGAGCUCAACUCCAGAACUGCCUUUGAUACUGAAAGUCUUGAGUAUGGGAGAGGUGAGUGGAACUGCGAGUGUAGAGGUGAAAUUCGUAGAUAUUCGCAAGAACACCAGUGGCGAAGGCGGCUCACUGGCCCAUAACUGACGCUGAGGCAAGACUGGGGAGGCAACA
This 203-nucleotide ribosomal RNA is filed under the name uncultured bacterium. RNAcentral describes it as "partial 16S ribosomal RNA". It matches the Rfam family "Bacterial small subunit ribosomal RNA", at positions 568 to 770 of the family's 1533-position model. The record is from RNAcentral.